AGAACGCUGAAGGAGGAGCUUGCUUCUCUGGAUGAGUUGCGAACGGGUGAGUAACGCGUAGGUAACCUGCCUGGUAGCGGGGGAUAACUAUUGGAAACGAUAGCUAAUACCGCAUAAUAGCAGUUGUUGCAUGACAACUGUUUGAAAGGUGCAAAUGCAUCACUACCAGAUGGACCUGCGUUGUAUUAGCUAGUUGGUGGGGUAACGGCUCACCAAGGCGACGAUACAUAGCCGACCUGAGAGGGUGAUCGGCCACACUGGGACUGAGACACGGCCCAGACUCCUACGGGAGGCAGCAGUAGGGAAUCUUCGGCAAUGGACGGAAGUCUGACCGAGCAACGCCGCGUGAGUGAAGAAGGUUUUCGGAUCGUAAAGCUCUGUUGUAAGAGAAGAACGAGUGUGAGAGUGGAAAGUUCACACUGUGACGGUAACUUACCAGAAAGGGACGGCUAACUACGUGCCAGCAGCCGCGGUAAUACGUAGGUCCCGAGCGUUAUCCGGAUUUAUUGGGCGUAAAGCGAGCGCAGGCGGUUAGAUAAGUCUGAAGUUAAAGGCUGUGGCUUAACCAUAGUACGCUUUGGAAACUGUUUAACUUGAGUGCAGAAGGGGAGAGUGGAAUUCCAUGUGUAGCGGUGAAAUGCGUAGAUAUAUGGAGGAACACCGGUGGCGAAAGCGGCUCUCUGGUCUGUAACU
Molecule: ribosomal RNA, 693 nt
Filed under: uncultured Bacilli bacterium
Lineage: Bacteria; Bacillati; Bacillota; Bacilli
Description: bacterial SSU rRNA
Rfam family: Bacterial small subunit ribosomal RNA
Source: RNAcentral